Molecule: ribosomal RNA, 433 nt
Filed under: uncultured bacterium
Lineage: Bacteria
Description: partial 16S ribosomal RNA
Rfam family: Bacterial small subunit ribosomal RNA
Source: RNAcentral
AACGAACGCUGGCGGCAUGCCUAACACAUGCAAGUCGAACGAGACCUUCGGGUCUAGUGGCGCACGGGUGCGUAACGCGUGGGAACCUGCCCUUAGGUUCGGAAUAACUCCCCGAAAGGGGUGCUAAUACCGGAUAAUGUCUUCGGACCAAAGAUUUAUCGCCUUUGGAUGGGCCCGCGUUGGAUUAGCUAGUUGGUAGGGUAAAAGCCUACCAAGGGGACGAUCCAUAGCUGGUCUGAGAGGAUGAUCAGCCACACUGGGACUGAGACACGGCCCAGACUCCUACGGGAGGCAGCAGUGGGUAAUAUUGGACAAUGGGCGAAAGCCUGAUCCAGCAAUGCCGCGUGAGUGAUGAAGGCCUUAGGGUUGUAAAGCUCUUUUACCCGGGAUGAUAAUGACAGUACCGGGAGAAUAAGCGCCGGCUAACUCCGUG